CAGUCGCCACGGGAAUACGAAGGGGGCUAGCGUUGUUCGGACUUACUGGGCGUAAAGCGCACGUAGGCGGAUCGAUCAGUCAGGGGUGAAAUCCUGGAGCUCAACUCCAGAACUGCCUUUGAUACUGUCGAUCUGGAGUAUGGAAGAGGUGAGUGGAAUUCCGAGUGUAGAGGUGAAAUUCGUAGAUAUUCGGAGGAACACCAGUGGCGAAGGCGGCUCACUGGUCCAUUACUGACGCUGAGGUGCGAAAGCGUGGGGAGCAAACAGGAUUAGAUACCCCUGUAGUCCCUGUCUCUUAUAC
This 301-nucleotide ribosomal RNA is filed under the name uncultured bacterium. RNAcentral's name for it is "partial 16S ribosomal RNA". It matches the Rfam family "Bacterial small subunit ribosomal RNA", at positions 509 to 807 of the family's 1533-position model. The record is from RNAcentral.